RNAcentral lists this ribosomal RNA (464 nucleotides) under Vreelandella stevensii. RNAcentral's name for it is "partial 16S ribosomal RNA". It matches the Rfam family "Bacterial small subunit ribosomal RNA", at positions 338 to 795 of the family's 1533-position model. Lineage: Bacteria; Pseudomonadati; Pseudomonadota; Gammaproteobacteria; Oceanospirillales; Halomonadaceae. The record is from RNAcentral.
CCUACGGGGGGCAGCAGUGGGGAAUAUUGGACAAUGGGCGAAAGCCUGAUCCAGCCAUGCCGCGUGUGUGAAGAAGGCCUUCGGGUUGUAAAGCACUUUCAGUGGGGAAGAAAGCCUUGGGGCUAAUACCCUCGAGGAAGGACAUCACCCACAGAAGAAGCACCGGCUAACUCCGUGCCAGCAGCCGCGGUAAUACGGAGGGUGCGAGCGUUAAUCGGAAUUACUGGGCGUAAAGCGCGCGUAGGCGGUCUGAUAAGCCGGUUGUGAAAGCCCCGGGCUCAACCUGGGAACGGCAUCCGGAACUGUCAGGCUAGAGUGCAGGAGAGGAAGGUAGAAUUCCCGGUGUAGCGGUGAAAUGCGUAGAGAUCGGGAGGAAUACCAGUGGCGAAGGCGGCCUUCUGGACUGACACUGACGCUGAGGUGCGAAAGCGUGGGUAGCAAACAGGAUUAGAUACCCCGUAGUC